CGGCGAACGGGUGAGUAACACGUGGGCAACCUGCCCAAAAGAGGGGGAUAACACUUGGAAACAGGUGCUAAUACCGCAUAACCAUAGUUACCGCAUGGUAGCUAUGUAAAAGGUGGCUAUGCUACCGCUUUUGGAUGGGCCCGCGGCGCAUUAGCUAGUUGGUGGGGUAAAGGCUUACCAAGGCAAUGAUGCGUAGCCGAACUGAGAGGUUGAUCGGCCACAUUGGGACUGAGACACGGCCCAAACUCCUACGGAAGGCAGCAG
This 264-nucleotide ribosomal RNA is filed under the name uncultured bacterium. Its description in RNAcentral is "partial 16S ribosomal RNA". It matches the Rfam family "Bacterial small subunit ribosomal RNA", at positions 96 to 354 of the family's 1533-position model. The record is from RNAcentral.